GACGAACGCUGGCGGCGUGCUUAACACAUGCAAGUCGAACGGAGUACUCAGCAAUGGGUGCUUAGUGGCGAACGGGUGAGUAACGCGUAGAUAACCUACCUCAAAGAUGGGGACAACGUCUGGAAACGGACGCUAAUACCGAAUGUGCUGUUUCGUGUGCAUAUGCGAAAUAGAAAAGGUGGCCUCUGAACAUGCUACCGCUUUGAGAUGGAUCUGCGUCUGAUUAGCUAGUUGGUGAGGUAACGGCCCACCAAGGCGACGAUCAGUAGCCGGUCUGAGAGGAUGAAACGGCCACACUGGGACUGAGACACGGUCCAGACUCCUACGGGAGGCUG
Molecule: ribosomal RNA, 335 nt
Filed under: uncultured Bacillota bacterium
Lineage: Bacteria; Bacillati; Bacillota
Description: bacterial SSU rRNA
Rfam family: Bacterial small subunit ribosomal RNA
Source: RNAcentral